UCCAGCUCCCAGCUUCCAGCUCCCAGCUCCCAGCUUUUGAAAUUGAUUCACCAACACCAGGCUAAUAUCAAUAUGAAUCAAAAUUAUGGAAGUUUUAUCAUUCCUCAAGCUAGAGGUCGAAAGAGAAAAACAAAUCCAGAAGAAUGGGCAAAAAAUAAGAAGAAAAGAGUAAGACAUUUUCAACAAUGACGUCGAUGGAAUCAUCCGGAUACUCCUUACACUCUGGAGCAUUCAAUACCUAGAAGAGGGGUUAGGGGUGCCGGGGAAGGGCAGAGGUAGGAGGUUGGAGAGGAAGACGUGGAAGGGGAAGAGGUGGAAGAGGAACAGGUGGUGGGGGACCAAAUAACGGGAGAGUCGACAGACUAGAAGAAGUUAACCGGGACAGAAUUGAUGACUCUGAAGAAGGAAUUAGAGUAGAAACCCGUAUCCCCCUACUCCGGCCCCUACUCCGGAAAGAAGAUACUGAUCUUUUAAGAAAAUGUAUUUAGUUUUAUAUAUACUAGGGCUGUUUUUUUUUCAAGUUCCGAUAGGCCAUAAAUAAUAAACACAUUGAGAUAAAAAGAUGAUUUUAUUACCAAAAGAUUCGUCAUUUCUUAAACUUAUUUUUCUACAUAGUCACCAAAAAUGUUGAGGCACUUGUCAUAGCGAGAGACAAGUUUUCCUAUACCCUCCUCGAAGAAGUCUGCCGCCAGUGAGCUCAGGUAGGCCCUUACAGUGGCUUGAAGCUCUUCGAUGUCAGCGAAGCGUCGUCCACCUAACCACGCCUUCAUUUCUCGAAAGAGGUGAUAGUCACUGGGCGCUAAGUCAGGACUAUACGGCGGAUGGUCGAAAACUUCCCAUUUGAACUUUUGCAGAAGUUGUUUUGUGACAUUGGCAUUAUGCGGUCGUGCAUUAUCGUGGAUCAGGACCACGCCGGAUGACAGCAUUCCUCUCCGUUUGUUUUGUAUUGCUCUCCGGAGGCGAUGUAGAGUCUCACAGUAUGAUUCCUUUGUUAUCGUUGUUCCCUGUUGCAUGAACUCAACCAGAAGCACACCUUUUUGGUCCCAAAACACUGUAGCCAUUGUUUUCCUCUUGGUCAAAGUCUGCUUGAGUUUUUUGGGUUUGUUAGGAGAGUGAGUGUGCAUCCAUUGCUUUGAUUGUUCCUUGGUUUCUGGAUUUUCAUACAGGACCCAAGUUUCAUCCCCAGUAACAAUAGACUUUAAAAAAUUGUCUUUCUCGUUGUCAUAUCGCGUCAGAAAAGUUAGGGCUGACGCCAUUCGCUUCGUUUUGUGAUCCUCACUCAACAUUUUGGGUACCCAACGGGCACACAGUUUUCGGUACCCUAGCUCGGUGGUCACAAUCUUGUACAAGGAAGACCUUGAAAUGGCUGGAAAUUCGGUAGAAAGUUCAUCAAUUGUAAACCUCCGUUUCUCCCGGAUCGCUUGGUCAACUCGUUCAACCAAACUUGCAGUAGCGACCGACUUGCGUCCUUGACCGCCUUCGUCAUGGACGUCUGUUCGACCUUCAGCAAAUAGCCUACACCAUUUUCUUAUCGCGCUAUCACUCAUACAGUGUUCACCAUACACAACACUCAUUCUGCGAUGGAUUUCAGCAGCACUACAUCCUUCAGCUUGAAGGAAACGAAUCACACUUCGCAACUCAAAACUGGCGGGAGAAUUGAUCGUAGCGGCCAUCUUUACUCGCCCGUAGCUCGGCUACGACUGAUGGAUUGGAGCCGGCAACGGCGUUGGUUGUAGUGGGGGAGCGGCGCAAUCGCACAACACGCAGCCCCGCCUCCCACCACUACGCUGGUUAUUUGGAGAAACAAACGG
This is a long non-coding RNA of Macrosteles quadrilineatus (aster leafhopper), 1811 nucleotides long. RefSeq lists it as uncharacterized. The record is from RefSeq and is a predicted model, not a curated record. The transcript is spliced from 3 exons. NCBI's taxonomy places the organism in Eukaryota, Metazoa, Arthropoda, Insecta, Hemiptera, Cicadellidae.